Molecule: ribosomal RNA, 415 nt
Filed under: uncultured bacterium
Lineage: Bacteria
Description: bacterial LSU rRNA
Rfam family: Bacterial large subunit ribosomal RNA
Source: RNAcentral
GGGUGAAAGGCUAAUCAAACUGGGAGAUAGCUCGUACUCCCCGAAAUGCUUUUAGGAGCAGCGUUGGUCUUAGUCAUAUAGAGGUAAAGCUACCGAUUGGGCUAGGGGGCUUCAUCGCCUACCAAACCCUGACGAACUCUGAAUGCUAUAUGAUAUGUCCAGCAGUGAGGCAGCCGAUGAUAAGGUCUGUUGCCGAGAGGGAAACAACCCAGACCAUCAUCUAAGGUCCCAAAGUCUAUGUUAAGUCACACAAACGAUGUCCGAUUGCUAUAACAGCCAGGAUGUUUGCUUGGAAGCAGCAAUCAUUUAAAGAGUGCGUAACAGCUCACUGGUCGAGUGAUCGGGCGCGGAAGAAUAACCGGGUGUCAAACAUAGCACCGAAGAUAUGGAUUGCAGCAAUGCACUGGUAGGGGAG